AUAACAAUACACAAUCCACAAUAACACACAAAGCAAAACAACACAAUAACAAUGCACAAUACAAAAUAACACAAUAACAAUACACAAAGCAAAUUAACAAUACAAUAAGUUAUAAUCUACCCCAGUAAUAAACAAUAUGUGACCAUGGACAUCAAAAGAGUUAGAAAUGAACGAAAUUUGACCUUUAAAAACAAAGAUACAGUAACACUUGGGCAGACAGAAAAACGACUGAGAAUCAAAAUAAGAGAAGCAAAAUUAAAAAAUAAAUAAGAUUUAGAAAACACGUUUAAAGCUAACAAUUCAAAAAAGGUGUGGGACACCAUGAAAUCAAUGACAGGGAUGGUGUCACAAAACAAACCUAUUGUUACAACUUGAACAGUUAUUUCACAAGAUUUGAGUUAUCAGACAGUUUUGAGAAAUGUAAUCAAAUUCUUUCAAAUAUUCAUCUGGGACCUUCAGAUAAAAUUGAGAUCACUGUUGAUGAAGUUAGAAAAACAUAAAAAACAGUAAAAAAAAACAGAAGGACCAGAUAAAUGUCGUCUUUUUAUUUUAAAAACCUUUGCGGUAGAGAUGGCACCGGCCUGGCAACCAGUGUUUCAACUCUCAGUUGACACUCAACACAGUUCCAACAGGGUGGAAAACCUCACACAUAAAACCUCUGCUUAAAACUCAAUGUCCAAAAGAACACAGAGAUUUCAGACCCACAGCUCUGACCUUUGCGAUUAUGAAUGCUCUAGAAAGACUUCUGCUCAAACAUCUGCAAGCCUGCACUAAUGACAAACUAGAUCCAUCACAGUUUGCAUAUAGAACAGGCUGUGGCACUGAAGAUGCUGUGGCCACUGUGGUUUAUAUCAUCACAAAACAUCUUGAUAAACCACAUAACUAUACAAGAGCACUCUUUCUGGACUGUUCUUCAGCUUUCAACACAAUACAACCCAAUAUUCUACUUUCAAAAAUGUCCUAUCUGGGAGUGAACCCUUACCUGAUCCACUGGUUUGCCUCUUUUUUAACAAAUAGAGUCCAGUUGGUUAAGGUAAACAAGACCCUUUCUUCUGCCAUCUCAACCAACGUUGGUGCACCUCAGGGCUGCGUAAGUUCUGCAAUACUUUUCACUCUACACAUAGAUGAUCUCCGUUCAACUUUAAAUAACCAGUAUGUUUUGAAAUACUCUGACGAUACUGUUUUGCUGACAUUACUACAUGAUCAGAAAAUCCUGAUGUUCCCCAACAAGGCGUUAAUAAAGUGGUCACAUGGAGCAAAAACAACGCUCUGGAGAUAAACACAAAGAAAACCAAGGAAAUUAUGUUUAAUCCAAAACCAAUAAGGGUAAACUCCACAAUUGUCAAUAAUGAAACAGUCCAACAGAUGGAGUCAAAUAAAUAUCUUGGCAUCAUGACAGAUGCCACUCUAUUCUGGAAACAUCAUAUUGAUGACGUGUAAGAAAACCAAACAGAGGAUGUAUUUUCUCCGUCGUUUAAGAUCGUUUGGAGCUACAUGACAAAUACUCCUGCUGUUUUAUACUUCUGUUAUUCUCAGUGUACUGCAGUAUUGUAAUGCUGUGUGGUACAGCUGCCUGUCCACUUCUGUAAAAUCUGGACUGAAACACUUAUUAAAAAUCUGUUCAAAAAUUGUUGGUCAGCCUUUAGAGGGUCUGUAUGAGACCUCUUAUCACAACAAAACAAUAAGGCUGGCAAAAAACA
This is a long non-coding RNA of Thalassophryne amazonica, 1700 nucleotides long. RefSeq lists it as uncharacterized. The record is from RefSeq and is a predicted model, not a curated record. Lineage: Eukaryota; Metazoa; Chordata; Actinopteri; Batrachoidiformes; Batrachoididae. The transcript is spliced from 2 exons.